This 328-nucleotide small RNA is filed under the name Vigna angularis var. angularis. Its description in RNAcentral is "Non-protein coding transcript". The record is from RNAcentral. Lineage: Eukaryota; Viridiplantae; Streptophyta; Magnoliopsida; Fabales; Fabaceae.
GGAGGUUGAAAAUUUACACCAAAGAACUUAGAAAAUUUUUUAGAGAAGAGAGUUGGAAGAAUUUCUAAUUUCAAAGGGGAUAUUCUGGAAGUUUUCAGAGAGCGAGGAGAUUAAGUCUGUAAUAGAGAUAAUGUUGCAGAUGCGGUUGAAAAAGCUUAGAGAUGAGAGAGAUGCGGGGAAAAACUUUCAGGGAUAUUUUGUAAAAAGAAUAAAUUUGUAUUGGAAAAAUUAUGUUGUGUAAAACUUAUAAGUUGAAAUUUGAAUUUAUGUUAAGUGGUGAAGACUAUAUCGUUUGAAGUUUGUAAGUUUGGUAUUGUACUUUGGGAGA